RNAcentral lists this transfer RNA (84 nucleotides) under Leucosporidium creatinivorum. RNAcentral's name for it is "Leucosporidiella creatinivora tRNA". It matches the Rfam family "tRNA". Rfam says of the family: Transfer RNA (tRNA) molecules are approximately 80 nucleotides in length. Their secondary structure includes four short double-helical elements and three loops (D, anti-codon, and T loops). The record is from Rfam by way of RNAcentral. Lineage: Eukaryota; Fungi; Basidiomycota; Microbotryomycetes; Leucosporidiales; Leucosporidiaceae.
GCCUCCUUGGCUUAGUGGUACAGCGUGCCACUCGUAUUUUCGCACGAAAUGGCAAGAUCGGGUGUUCGAUUCACCCAGGAGGCA